UCGGGAAUUUUGGGCAAUGGGGGAAACCCUGACCCAGCAACGCCGCGUGAAGGAUGAAGUAUUUCGGUAUGUAAACUUCGAAAGAAUAGGAAGAAUAAAUGACGGUACUAUUUAUAAGGUCCGGCUAACUACGUGCCAGCAGCCGCGGUAAUACGUAGGGACCAAGCGUUGUUCGGAUUUACUGGGCGUAAAGGGCGCGUAGGCGGCAUGACAAGUCACUUGUGAAAUCUCUGGGCUUAACCCAGAACGGCCAAGUGAUACUGUCGUGCUAGAGUGCAGAAGGGGCAAUCGGAAUUCUUGGUGUAGCGGUGAAAUGCGUAGAUAUCAAGAGGAACACCUGAGGUGAAGACGGGUUGCUGGGCUGACACUGACGCUGAGGCGCGAAAGCCAGGGGGAGCAAACGGGGAUUAGAU
Molecule: ribosomal RNA, 413 nt
Filed under: uncultured bacterium
Lineage: Bacteria
Description: bacterial SSU rRNA
Rfam family: Bacterial small subunit ribosomal RNA
Source: RNAcentral